UUACGUAGAGUUAAAAAAGAACACAUCACAUGUAAUAAGUAAUAAUGUAAUAAGUGCUAAGAGGGGUUAAGGAGAGGGCAUGUGAAAGUGGGAAAGGAGAAGAGAAUACAGCUGUGUACGCCGCUCGCUCUCUCUCUCUCUCUCUUUUUCUUUCCCCAUCAAGAAAGUUCUCCACUUCCACCGCCCACCUUCUCUCUUCAUACCUUCUUCUUCUUCUUCAUCUCUCUUUUUAUUAUUUAUUUAUUAUCUGCUAUAUUAUUAUUAGCAUCUUCUCAAUUAUGUAUUACCCAAUUGUUCUCCUUAACAUUCACGAACUUUUCCUGUAAAGUUUUUUCCUUUUUUAGAUAGCUUAAGAACCUGCGGUGUAUAUGUGCACAGCGUCAUUUGGUGAUGAAAAUGAAAUGUUGUAACAAACAGUUAUAAGUUGAGGCUAUUUAUUAGGAGUGUAUAAUGUCGACAGUGGCAGUGUCUGCAUCGACGUUUCAGCUUGCAGCUAAAUUUAGAUAUGAUGCUAUUUAAUUCCUUUACUCAUUAAAACUUCAUCCUUCCUAUAUUUCUUCACCUCAACUUUAGUGUCUCAAAUGUACUUGUCUCCAGUAUUUUAAUAAUAUUAUAUUUUAG
RNAcentral lists this long non-coding RNA (621 nucleotides) under Brassica napus (rape). RNAcentral's name for it is "long non-coding RNA (BNAP_LNC006757)". The record is from RNAcentral. Lineage: Eukaryota; Viridiplantae; Streptophyta; Magnoliopsida; Brassicales; Brassicaceae.